GACGAACGCUGGCGGCGUGCUUAACACAUGCAAGUCGAACGGAAAGGCCCUGCUUUUGUGGGGUGCUCGAGUGGCGAACGGGUGAGUAAUACGUGAGUAACCUGCCCUUGACUUUGGGAUAACUUCAGGAAACUGGGGCUAAUACCGGAUAGGAGCUCCUGCUGCAUGGUGGGGGUUGGAAAGUUUCGGCGGUUGGGGAUGGACUCGCGGCUUAUCAGCUUGUUGGUGGGGUAGUGGCUUACCAAGGCUUUGACGGGUAGCCGGCCUGAGAGGGUGACCGGCCACAUUGGGACUGAGAUACGGCCCAGACUCCUACGGGAGGCAGCAGUGGGGAAUAUUGCACAAUGGGCGGAAGCCUGAUGCAGCAACGCCGCGUGCGGGAUGACGGCCUUCGGGUUGUAAACCGCUUUCGCCUAUGACGAAGCGUGAGUGACGGUAAUGGGUAAAGAAGCACCGGCUAACUACGUG
Molecule: ribosomal RNA, 468 nt
Filed under: uncultured bacterium
Lineage: Bacteria
Description: partial 16S ribosomal RNA
Rfam family: Bacterial small subunit ribosomal RNA
Source: RNAcentral